Molecule: ribosomal RNA, 497 nt
Filed under: uncultured bacterium
Lineage: Bacteria
Description: partial 16S ribosomal RNA
Rfam family: Bacterial small subunit ribosomal RNA
Source: RNAcentral
GAUGAACGCUGGCGGCGUGCCUAACACAUGCAAGUCGAGCGAACGGACGAGACGCUUGCUUCUCUCAUGUUAGCGGCGGACGGGUGAGUAACACGUGGAUAACCUACAUCUACGACUUGGACAACUUCGACAAACCGGAGCAAAGACCGGAUCAUACUUUGAACCGCAUGGUUCAAAAGUGAUAGCCGGUAUUGAUGAGACUUAUACCUGGAUCCGCGCUGCAUUAGCUAGUUGGUAAGAUAACGGCUUACCAUGGCAACGAUGCAUAGCCGACCGGAGAGGGUGAUCGGCCACCUUAGAAGGUGGACACGGUCCAUACUCCUGCGGGAGGGAGCAGAAGGGAAUCUUCCGCAGUGGGCGGAAACCUUACAGAGCAACGGCACGUGAGUUACGAAGGUCUUCGGAUCGUAAAACUCGGUUAUUAGGUAAGAACAUCUGUGUACGUGACUGUACACAUCUUGACGGUACCUAAUCAAAAAGCCACGGCUAACUACGUG